ACGUGGGCACGUAUUCUACGGGAGGCAGCAGUGACGUGUUAAUAUGUGGUCAAUGGGCGCAAGGACUGUAACACAGGCCAUCCCGCGUGUAAGGAUGAAGGCCCUAUGGCUCUCGUAAACUUCUUUUAUACACCAAGAAAAAGCAGGACGUGUCCUGCCCCGACGGUAGUGUAUGAAUAAGCAUCGGCUAACUCCGUGCCAGCAGCCGCGGUAAUACGGAGGAUGCGAGCGUUAUCCGGAUUCAUUGGGUUUAAAGGGUGCGUAGGCGGCUUUUUAAGUCAGUGGUGAAAUCUUGCCGCUUAACGGUAAAAUUGCCAUUGAUACUGAUAAGCUUGAGUACAAUUGAGGUAAGCGGAAUGUGUAGUGUAGCGGUGAAAUGCUUAGAUAUUACACAGAACACCGAUUGCGAAGGCAGCUUACUAAACUGUUACUGACGCUGAUGCACGAAAGCGUGGGGAGCGAACAGGAUUAGAUACCCUGGUAGUCCACGCCGUAAACGAUGAUCACUCGCUGUAUGCGAUACACAGUAUGCGGCCAAGCGAAAGCAUUAAGUGAUCCACCUGGGGAGUACGAUCGCAAGGUUGAAACUCAAAGGAAUUGACGGGGGCCCGCACAAGCGGAGGAACAUGUGGUUUAAUUCGAUGAUACGCGAGGAACCUUACCUGGGCUUAAAUGGGGAACGACAGCAGCCGAAAGGUUGCCUUCUUCGGACGUUCUUCAAGGUGCUGCAUGGUUGUCGUCAGCUCGUGCCGUGAGGUGUCGGGUUAAGUCCCAUAACGAGCGCAACCCUUAUCGUUAGUUGCCAGCGGGUGAUGCCGGGGACUCUAGCGAGACUGCCACCGUAAGGUGUGAGGAAGGUGGGGAUGACGUCAAAUCAGCACGGCCCUUAUGUCCAGGGCUACACACGUGUUACAAUGGCAAGUACAAAGGCAGCUACCUGGUGACAGGAUGCUAAUCUCUAAAGCUUGCCUCAGUUCGGAUCGAAGUCUGCAACCCGACUUCGUGAAGCUGGAUUCGCUAGUAAUCGCAUAUCAGCCAUGAUGCGGUGAAUACGUUCCCGGGCCUUGUACACACCCCUCUCCUAUAGUGACUAG
Molecule: ribosomal RNA, 1094 nt
Filed under: uncultured Bacteroidota bacterium
Lineage: Bacteria; Pseudomonadati; Bacteroidota
Description: bacterial SSU rRNA
Rfam family: Bacterial small subunit ribosomal RNA
Source: RNAcentral